Perognathus longimembris pacificus (Pacific pocket mouse) is the source of this 806-nucleotide RNA transcript. It is a transcript of the gene named cytosolic iron-sulfur assembly component 2A-like, with no coding region annotated. The record is from RefSeq and is a predicted model, not a curated record. The transcript has a single exon. NCBI's taxonomy places the organism in Eukaryota, Metazoa, Chordata, Mammalia, Rodentia, Heteromyidae.
AUGGAGCGGGUGUCCAGGCUGCUCUCCUGGACUGAGCCGAGUUCUGUGGCUGUCAGGCCUCUCUGAGGCGGGAGCUGCCCGGCAGCCCCGGAUCAUGGAAGAGCAAGCGCUAGAGGUUUAUGAUUUGAUUCUAACUCUCCGGGAUCCAGAAAAACCCAAUACUUUAGAAGAACUGGAAGUGGUAACGGGAGAGUUGUGUGGAAGUUCAGGAGAUAAAUGAAGAAGACUAUCUGGCUAUUAUCAGGUUCACACCAACAGUACCUCAGUAACUCUUAUUGGGUUGUGCUUAAGAGUAACAUUUCAGCGAUGUUUGCCAUUUAAACACAAGUUGGAAAUCUACAUUUCUGAAGGAACCCACUCCACAGAGGAAGACAUCAACAAGCAGAUAAACGACAAAGAACGGGUGCCAGCUGCAAUGGAGAGCCCCAACUUACGGGAAAGCGUGGAACAAUGUGUCCUUAGCCUGACUGAUCGCUGCUUCAAGAGCCACUGAGCUGUAAUUGUUAUAUUUGUUUUACCUUUGCAAAAUGUAAAAGACUCAUGUUUAAUACAUAGGUGAUUUGUACCUCAAAACAUUUUAUAAAGUUUUAAUUACAAGGUAGGACCUAAUUUGUGUAGUAAAAAACAUCCUCAGGAUUUGUAACACUGAAUUGAUCGGACAGAAACCUAUUUUCUAGUUACUGUGUAUAAGAUGUGUUACUAUUUUUCUGAUACCCAUUCUGAUACAGCUACAUUUCGUGUCAAAUAUUGCGAUGUCCAAAUGUAUUAAAUUUAAAUCAGUAUUCUAAAAUAAAUGAUUCUUACAA